CCUACGGGUGGCAGCAGUGAGGAAUAUUGGUCAAUGGGCGGAAGCCUGAACCAGCCAAGUCGCGUGAGGGAUUAAGGCCCUGCGGGUCGUAAACCUCUUUUGCCGGGGAGCAGUGGUCCGGACGCGUCCGGACCGGGAGAGUACCCGGAGAAAAAGCAUCGGCUAACUCCGUGCCAGCAGCCGCGGUAAUACGGAGGAUGCGAGCGUUAUCCGGAUUUAUUGGGUUUAAAGGGAGCGUAGAUGGGUUGUUAAGUCAGUUGUGAAAGUUUGCGGCUCAACCGUAAAAUUGCAAUUGAUACUGGCAGCCUUGAGUACAGUUGAGGUAGGCGGAAUUCGUGGUGUAGCGGUGAAAUGCUUAGAUAUCACGAAGAACUCCGAUUGCGAAGGCAGCCUACUAAACUGCCACUGACAUUGAUGCUCGAAAGUGUGGGUAUCAAACAGGAUUAGAUACCCUAGUAGUC
RNAcentral lists this ribosomal RNA (461 nucleotides) under uncultured bacterium. RNAcentral's name for it is "partial 16S ribosomal RNA". It matches the Rfam family "Bacterial small subunit ribosomal RNA", at positions 338 to 795 of the family's 1533-position model. The record is from RNAcentral.